RNAcentral lists this ribosomal RNA (270 nucleotides) under uncultured prokaryote. RNAcentral's name for it is "partial 16S ribosomal RNA". It matches the Rfam family "Bacterial small subunit ribosomal RNA", at positions 524 to 794 of the family's 1533-position model. The record is from RNAcentral.
UACGUAGGGGCAAGCGUUGUCCGGAAUUAUUGGGCGUAAAGAGCUUGUAGGCGGUUUGUCGCGUCUGCUGUGAAAAUCCGGGGCUCAACCCCGGACUUGCAGUGGGUACGGGCAGACUAGAGUGUGGUAGGGGAGACUGGAAUUCCUGGUGUAGCGGUGAAAUGCGCAGAUAUCAGGAGGAACACCGAUGGCGAAGGCAGGUCUCUGGGCCACUACUGACGCUGAGAAGCGAAAGCUAGGGUAGCAAACGGGAUUAGAUACCCGCGUAGU